AAAGUGCGAUAAGUCAUGUGAAUUGCGGAAUUCGUGAAUCAUCAAAUCUUUGAACGCAAAUGGCACCAAUCUCUGAUUGGUACGUCUGUUUGAGUGUUGGUUUUACCUUCUUCUUACUCACUCAUAUCUUGAUAUGUUGAUAGAGGAGAGAUGAAUGUCUUCCAAGGGAGUCAUUUUAAAUCCAACUCAUCUUGUCACUCAUUGUGUAUCCCUGCGAUCUCUGAUGUGAUGUACAAGAUCUCUCAACAUCUACUUGUUGAUCAACCUCAAAUCAGACGAGAUUACCCGCUGAAUUUAA
RNAcentral lists this unclassified non-coding RNA (298 nucleotides) under uncultured Glomus. RNAcentral describes it as "sequence contains ITS1". The stretch from base 1 to 99 matches the Rfam family "5.8S ribosomal RNA", at positions 50 to 154 of the family's 154-position model. The record is from RNAcentral. Lineage: Eukaryota; Fungi; Glomeromycota; Glomeromycetes; Glomerales; Glomeraceae.